Molecule: ribosomal RNA, 303 nt
Filed under: uncultured bacterium
Lineage: Bacteria
Description: partial 16S ribosomal RNA
Rfam family: Bacterial small subunit ribosomal RNA
Source: RNAcentral
AGCAGUCGCCGCGGUAAUACGUAGGUGGCAAGCGUUAUCCGGAAUUAUUGGGCGUAAAGCGCGCGUAGGCGGUUUUUUAAGUCUGAUGUGAAAGCCCACGGCUCAACCGUGGAGGGUCAUUGGGAACUGGAAAACUUGAGUGCAGAAGAGGAAAGUGGAAUUCCAUGUGUAGCGGUGAAAUGCGCAGAGAUAUGGAGGAACACCAGUGGCGAAGGCGACUUUCUGGUCUGUAACUGACGCUGAUGUGCGAAAGCGUGGGGAUCAAACAGGAUUAGAUACCCGUGUAGUCCCUGUCUCUUAUAA